Vicia faba (fava bean) is the source of this 405-nucleotide non-coding RNA. Lineage: Eukaryota; Viridiplantae; Streptophyta; Magnoliopsida; Fabales; Fabaceae. The record is from the annotation of a GenBank genome assembly.
AUGCCGAGUCUUUCUCCGCCGCCAACUCGACGUCGUCGUCACCUGCAAGAGAAGGCCAAAAACUGGACUUUACUAAACAAGCGAGAAAACUUUCUAUUUAGUAAAGCAACAAGCAAGGGAUUGAGCUGCGCGAAAGCCGCGUUCGCGCAUCCGUUUUCUUGCUCGCUAGCUGCAAUCAAAAAACAGCGCACACUAGAAAGUGCUUCGAAUUCGAAAGGCGCCGGCUCCCUUCUUACUGACAGCACAGCUACGUGCUGGCACUCAAUUAGUAGCGCUGGCGCGUCACUCGGCUCCUCGGCUCACUUCGGUUGCAAAGACUUUCUCCUUAGGCGCAUGUCUCAGCAACACAAAACGAGGGUUUCGCUCGUUAUAGGACUUGACCAAACAUCUCACGACACGAGCUGA